This is a long non-coding RNA of Clupea harengus (Atlantic herring), 3125 nucleotides long. RefSeq lists it as uncharacterized. The transcript is spliced from 3 exons. The record is from RefSeq and is a predicted model, not a curated record. NCBI's taxonomy places the organism in Eukaryota, Metazoa, Chordata, Actinopteri, Clupeiformes, Clupeidae.
CACACACACACACACACACACACACACACACUCACACUCACACUGACACUGACACUGACACUGACACUCACACUCACGCUUAAGCUCUGCUUCCAUUGAUAAAUCUGCAGCACCAGCACUUUCACUCUAGGAGCUGUCCAGUGCUAGAGUUUCUUUAAGGAUGAUGACAUGAUGGUAAAAUGGGAGCGUAACAGCCCAGCUCACAACAACCCAAAACCUUUGGCUGGGCCGUUGUUGCUCCACAGGCUUGAGCUGAGAGUCCUCGGUGCCAAACUCGGAUGGGUCAGAGUGAUCCGUGUACACUUUAACCAUCAGUCUGGACAGAAUCCUGAUUGUGUGUGUGUGUGUGUGUGUGAUCAUCAUUAUUAUUAUUAUUAUUAUUUCGCUUGGAACGUUAAUGGAGAACAGAAGUGCUCUGUGAUCUGAAUGUUUUGAAACCGCGUGCCAGUGGCUCUCUGCAAUUGGAUGGACAUUUGGUGACCGCUUGGAAAUUGCCGUUGAGAAAAGAAUGACUAAUGGCUUUGCCUGUUUUUGACAGUGGGGAUGUAAAAUAUCACUCAAUUUCAGAUUGAGGUCAGAUUACACUGGGCGGUUGUGCCUCCAUACUGCCUCUGGUGGUCAGAUAUGUCUGAUUAUGAGUGACGCUCUUGAGAUUGGUGCCCAGGAUAGACUUUAGGAUUUGGGUUCUUUUUGUAUCUAUUUAUUAACAUGGAACGUUUGAAUAAGCAUCAUAAAACUCCUCAACAUAUGCAAUUUAUUGUAAGGGUGAUUUUAUUAUUUGGCAUAUUCACAUUCUUCACAUUAUAGUUCCACUGUUUUCUACAAGGGAAGCAGCAGAAUAGACUUUCCUCAACUUGGCUGAGUUUAGAACUGGUUUAAGGUAUAGGCUGACUGGGCCCUUCUGUGUGCAGUGGUUAUGUAUUCACAAGUGAUGUUUUCCCGACUUCAGUUCUUAUGAGACUUUAAGAGCUCAAAACUGAUCCAAAACCCGAUUCUCCCGAUAUCACAAAAAUUGUGUGUCUGAAAUGCAUAUCUUGAAUAUAAUCUCAUGUUUGCCUUCCCCAGUAUAGAAAAAGAAAAUGUAUUUAGGGAAUUGAUUGAUCUGAUUAUGGGAUUUGAGUAUGAAGACUACAUAAUCUGCACUGGGUUCAGGUAAAAUACAACCAGGUUUUGUAAUCACCUCUCUCUGUGUUUGGGCAUAGCAGGACACUUCAGCAGGAGCUGUUUACUUUAGCUUUUCCCAUUACAAAUAUUAUUAAUAUUAUUAUGAUGAAAUAUUAUUGCGGCCCCCCACACUUUGGAAGCGACAGAUGUGGAGUGUGUUCUGAGUGACGGGUGUGUAUUCUAGAGACGGGCCGCGAGCGAGCGAGCUCCUGCGUGAACGGUGAUUACAGAAAGGAUACAGUACAUUACUGUAGGUGCUGACUCAGACUUUCCCAUCUCAUCUCGGGAAGUGUGAUUUAGACAUUUAAAAAAAAAUGCAAAAUGUAACAUAUGUGAAUAAAAUAUGAAGAUGCUCUGAUUUUGUGUGCUGUGUCAUUGUCAUUGUCUCUUUUUAAAUUGCACAUUUGGAACAGGUAGAAGAUGAAUUAAUUGAUGAAUUGAACUAUUUCACCUUGGGUCACUGGUUGUGGGCCACAAAGCAAAAUAUUUUAACUGAUGAGACUUGUCUGUCAACUAGGCCACUAGAGGGGGCCCAUCAUAACACAGUUUGACAAUUUAACAACUAUUCUGUUUGUUCAACCAACUGUCCAGCCAAAACAAUGCAUAACUCCGUUAUGAAAACCUCGAACUUUCGGCUAUUAAACUCAUGACAUUUUUGGGGUUGAGGACGGUUUAAAGAUUUCCCGUGACUGCGCUCACCAUCAGGUCGGUAAUUUAAUAGACUAUCUAAAGCGGAGACGUACAGAACUACUGUAUUGGAUCUAAUGUCUCACAAUGGUUGUGCUAAGAGUUAGGCUGCCAAUGUUAAUGUUACAUUGAUUUAGGAAGUUAAAUCGUUCUGGUAAACUGCAGCCUUACUUUUCUAAGUAAACAUGUAUAGAUCCUUGUAAUGACACUGACAGCUGUUGGACGUGUGGGUAUAGUCUACCGUACCGUUUGAGCUUGUCGAUGACGCAGAGCGCAACCCUCAGCGGAUGCUCUUCGUCUCACUGUUCUAAUGAGUAGGCCUACGCAUUAACAAAGUAUCCCGAACCUCAGAAACCUAAGCCGUUGUAAACAUGUUUGCGCUCUGAAAAGAAAGUGGGCUAGGGUUACAAACAGAGGAUGAAAUAGCCCUCACAGGAAUGUGAACAAUGUGAAAUCUAUGUGAUCGCGUUGUUAUUAAGCCAUUGGUCUGUGAGGCGUGCACGGGAAACAGACACAACUUAGAUUAAAGUUAAACUUUCACCCUUGUCUAAGCCAUAAUUCUCCUUGAAAGAUGCAUGUCAGCAGAAAACUACAGGAUACGUUGUGCAGGCGUGUUGAAAACAUAACAAAACACUUGUUUGUGGGUACUGAAGCUACAGGGCAGACUAUGCCACUGUUUCCAGAGGAACAACGGGAGGCUCCGAUUUAUGUAAUGAAAGAAAUUUGUUGCGUAUUGGCCUGGAAAAUUUACAAAGCCGUUGCCUCACAAUAAAAUUAGGUAAAGUGACAGGUCUUUGACACAGCAGCAAAUCUCUCAGCUUCCACGGCGUAGCCAAGGAAGGCCUUUUAAAGACUUUAACUUGCUACAGCCUUACCCCAUUUCAAUGCAUACUGUCAUGCUGUUUUUCAAUACAGCAGCUGCUUUACUUUUGUAGCCUAGUUUACUGGCGACAAGUGAGACUGUUCUGGGCAAUAACACCGUAGACGACGGCAGUUAUCGAGUUCUAGUUAAUUAUUAAACACAUAACCGGCCGGAGAGGAAGCCUUCAAAAUCACUUCGGAUAUGUUACCAAAAGGACUAUGGAAGGAUUCAUCAAUGGACAGACAAACGAAGCACCACACGGGCAGAGGGAUGGGAAGACUGAGGAUAAUCAGCCAGAGACCAAUGAGUUUUUCCACCUUCAUGGCCGGAUAUGGUGAGAGAACGCACGACUGAGCCCAAACACAUGGUUCACUCCAUGGUCAUAUAUAUUCACAUCUGGUUCACUCCAUGG